UACAGAGGGUGCGAGCGUUGUCCGGAAUCACUGGGCGUAAAGGGCGCGUAGGUGGUUGGGGAAGCGUGUGGUGAAAGCCCGGGGCUCAACCCCGGGUCGGCCAUGCGAACUGCCCGACUGGAGCAUGGUAGAGGCCAAUGGAAUUCCGGGUGUAGCGGUGGAAUGCGUAGAGAUCCGGAAGAACACCGGUGGCGAAGGCGGUUGGCUGGGCCAUAGCUGACACUGAGGCGCGACAGCGUGGGGAGCAAACAGG
RNAcentral lists this ribosomal RNA (253 nucleotides) under uncultured bacterium. RNAcentral's name for it is "partial 16S ribosomal RNA". It matches the Rfam family "Bacterial small subunit ribosomal RNA", at positions 524 to 776 of the family's 1533-position model. The record is from RNAcentral.